This 561-nucleotide ribosomal RNA is filed under the name uncultured bacterium. RNAcentral's name for it is "bacterial SSU rRNA". It matches the Rfam family "Bacterial small subunit ribosomal RNA", at positions 368 to 920 of the family's 1533-position model. The record is from RNAcentral.
GCAAUGGACGGAAGUCUGACCGAGCAACGCCGCGUGAGUGAAGAAGGUUUUCGGAUCGUAAAGCUCUGUUGUAAGAGAAGAACGAGUGUGAGAGUGGAAAGUUCACACUGUGACGGUAUCUUACCAGAAAGGGACGGCUAACUACGUGCCAGCAGCCGCGGUAAUACGUAGGUCCCGAGCGUUGUCCGGAUUUAUUGGGCGUAAAGCGAGCGCAGGCGGUCAGAUAAGUCUGAAGUUAAAGGCUGUGGCUUAACCAUAGUACGCUUUGGAAACUGUUUAACUUGAGUGCAAGAGGGGAGAGUGGAAUUCCAUGUGUAGCGGUGAAAUGCGUAGAUAUAUGGAGGAACACCGGUGGCGAAAGCGGCUCUCUGGCUUGUAACUGACGCUGAGGCUCGAAAGCGUGGGGAGCAAACAGGAUUAGAUACCCUGGUAGUCCACGCCGUAAACGAUGAGUGCUAGGUGUUAGACCCUUUCCGGGGUUUAGUGCCGCAGCUAACGCAUUAAGCACUCCGCCUGGGGAGUACGACCGCAAGGUUGAAACUCAAAGGAAUUGACGGAAUC